AGAAUCAACGCUGGCGGCGUGCCUAACACAUGCAAGUCGAACGAGAAAGUGGAGCAAUCCAUGAGUAAAGUGGCGCACGGGUGAGUAACACGUGACUAACCUACCCUUGAGUGGGGAAUAACUGAGGGAAACCUUAGCUAAUACCGCAUAACACCUACGGGUCAAAGGAGCAAUUCGCUUAAGGAGGGGUCGCGGCCGAUUAGUUAGUUGGCGGGGUAAUGGCCCACCAAGACUAUGAUCGGUA
RNAcentral lists this ribosomal RNA (244 nucleotides) under uncultured bacterium. Its description in RNAcentral is "partial small subunit ribosomal RNA". It matches the Rfam family "Bacterial small subunit ribosomal RNA", at positions 26 to 285 of the family's 1533-position model. The record is from RNAcentral.